GAUGAACGCUGGCGGCGUGCCUAAUACAUGCAAGUCGAGCGAAAAGACGAGGAGCUUGCUGCUCGGACGUGAGGGGCGGACGGGUGUGUAACACGUGGAUAACCUACCUAUAAGAGGGAGAUAACUUCGGAACACCGGCGCUAAUACCGUAGAAGAUAUUGAACCGCGGGGGGCAAUGGUGAGAGACGGUGGUGCUGUCACGUAUAGAUGGAUCCGCGCCGUAUUAGCUAGUUGUUAAGGUAACGGCUUACGAAGGCGACGAUGCGUAGCCGACCUGAUUGGCUGAUAGCCCCCCCUGGAGCUGAGCCGCCCUCCUGGCUCCUGCGGGAGGCCGCAGUCGCGUACCUUCCGCAAUGGGCGGAAGCCUGACGCAGCAACGCCGCGUGAGUUACGACGGCCUUCCGUUCGUGAUGCCCUGUUAUUGGUUAUGAACCACUGUGUCCUUAACCAUGCCCUUCUUGACGGUACCUAAUAAGAAAGCCCCGGCUAACUACGUG
Molecule: ribosomal RNA, 497 nt
Filed under: uncultured bacterium
Lineage: Bacteria
Description: partial 16S ribosomal RNA
Rfam family: Bacterial small subunit ribosomal RNA
Source: RNAcentral